This 339-nucleotide ribosomal RNA is filed under the name Triticum aestivum (bread wheat). Its description in RNAcentral is "partial small subunit ribosomal RNA". Lineage: Eukaryota; Viridiplantae; Streptophyta; Magnoliopsida; Poales; Poaceae. The record is from RNAcentral.
AUGGGUCCUGGUGCACUGGUGGCUUUCGGGCGCCGGAGGCGCGAAGACGACGGCAGCGACGCGCACAGAACUCCAGCGAGGCGAUGCAGAUGCGGGGGAGACGGUAGCGGGCGGCCGGUGGCGGGCUUGAGCUCCUUGCAGCUUCCAUGGCGUUCUCCUACGAGAACAGAGAGGACGGGAGAUGCUAGAGUGAUAAAGAGAAGAGGAACCAAGGGAGGAAGGGGACAAGAGGAGAAGGGAGGCGAGGCCGGCCUGGGAGUGCUGGUCGCCGACGGCGACAUGGUCAUGGAUGAGGGGGAGGUUGCGGCCUCGGACGCCCGCGGGCGCAGGGACACGUGA